This is a long non-coding RNA of Chinchilla lanigera (long-tailed chinchilla), 571 nucleotides long. RefSeq lists it as uncharacterized. The transcript is spliced from 2 exons. The record is from RefSeq and is a predicted model, not a curated record. NCBI's taxonomy places the organism in Eukaryota, Metazoa, Chordata, Mammalia, Rodentia, Chinchillidae.
CCGGAGGUGGGACGGAGGGAAAGGCGACGGACACCCGCCCCAGCCAAUCCGCGGCUCGCAGGAUCCCGUACGCCCCCCGCAGCGUCCCGCCCCCUGUAGGCCCCGCCCCUCUUUGUAAAAGCUUAAUUGACCAAGGCUGAAGAUCUAACUCGUUUUUUCGGGGUCGGAAGUUCCACUGACGUUCGCAAGUGGGAAGGGGGUCACCACUUCCCCCGACUGCAAACCACGUGUUUUACAGACAGAAGGGAAGGAGCAGCCUGCCCCUGUCGAGGAAAUAACAGGUCUCAAGACAAGAUGCUGCAGCUCCAGUUUGAGGCCUGUGAGAGAGGAGGGACACCUGACCUGGAUCCUCAGGGUCACGGAAAGAUGAAGCAGAUUACUAUCUCAAAAUGUGCUCGGCACGUAACAUGCUUCUUGUCGUUGGUGUCAGGAGUCUUGAUAUUUUACUGAGAUAACACAAAAGAUUUAGUAGAGAAGAGCAGAAUCUGGCUGGGAAAGGAAAUCCAUGUAUGGAGUUCACAUCCCGUCCGUCCCUAAAAUGGUAUCAAUAAAGCCCUCUGUCGUCCAUAGA